This 554-nucleotide ribosomal RNA is filed under the name uncultured bacterium. Its description in RNAcentral is "partial 16S ribosomal RNA". It matches the Rfam family "Bacterial small subunit ribosomal RNA", at positions 355 to 902 of the family's 1533-position model. The record is from RNAcentral.
UGGGGAAUUUUGGACAAUGGGCGAAAGCCUGAUCCAGCAAUGCCGCGUGUGUGAAGAAGGCCUUCGGGUUGUAAAGCACUUUUGUCCGGAAAGAAAUCCUUGGCUCUAAUACAGUCGGGGGAUGACGGUACCGGAAGAAUAAGCACCGGCUAACUACGUGCCAGCAGCCGCGGUAAUACGUAGGGUGCAAGCGUUAAUCGGAAUUACUGGGCGUAAAGCGUGCGCAGGCGGUUUGCUAAGACCGAUGUGAAAUCCCCGGGCUCAACCUGGGAACUGCAUUGGUGACUGGCAGGCUAGAGUAUGGCAGAGGGGGUAGAAUUCCACGUGUAGCAGUGAAAUGCGUAGAGAUGUGGAGGAAUACCGAUGGCGAAGGCAGCCCCCUGGGCCAAAUACUGACGCUCAUGCACGAAAGCGUGGGGAGCAAACAGGAUUAGAUACCCUGGUAGUCCACGCCCUAAACGAUGUCAACUAGUUGUUGGGGAUUCAUUUCCUUAGUAACGUAGCUAACGCGUGAAGUUGACCGCCUGGGGAGUACGGUCGCAAGAUUAAAACUC